Juglans microcarpa x Juglans regia is the source of this 775-nucleotide long non-coding RNA. RefSeq lists it as uncharacterized. The transcript has 2 exons. The record is from RefSeq and is a predicted model, not a curated record. NCBI's taxonomy places the organism in Eukaryota, Viridiplantae, Streptophyta, Magnoliopsida, Fagales, Juglandaceae.
UAUGGGGUCUUCUUAUAGCGUACUUGUGGUCUCUCCCUGAUCCCUCCUAGCUCCCCACUUUCUUUCGCAAUCUCUUCUCCAUUUGGCUUUGUUCUAGAAUUUUAUGGUAUCCUCAUCUGUUUCAACAAAAGUUGGGUUUCUAUGUUCUUUAUAUUCAUUAUUCUAGUCUUAGCUUCUAGCAUUUUUGCAGAUGAAUUCUCAUAUUACAAGUUGGCACAACGAUGGCCAAAUUGUCUUUGAAAUCUGGGUGUUCCUUGUUCAAAGAAACGUGAGGAGAUUAAAACGAGCUAUCAAAGAUUUUUAAUACACGUACUGUUGCAUUUCUGGGCAAAUAAUUCCAAGGUAGAUCCUUGUCCGAGAACUGAAUUGACAAGUUGCCUGGUGAAAGGAUCUACCACAAAAUUAUUUGCCCAGAAAGGCCAUAGUCUGUGUAUUAAAAAUCUCUGAUACCUCGUUUUAAUCUCCUUAGGUUUCUUUGAACAAGGAACACCCAAAUUGCAUAGAGAAUUUGGUCAUUUGAGUGUCAUUCUUGGAAAAUACAGCCAAAGAAACCUUGCAAAAAGAGUGGAUAAUCCAACUUUGCGCAAAUAUAGACCAACUGAAACAACAGCGCAAAAAAAAAAAUCAAUUAUUAUCCUCUCAAUUGAUUCUGCAAAAAAAUAUGAAACAUGCUGAUCAACCUAUAAUAUGAUAUGAUUUUGUAAAGUUAACUUCAUUUUCGAAACUCCUAUCAAACUACAUUUUGUAAACUUGUAUCAAAUUUCUUUACGAUGUA